GCCGGAGUGGCGGAAUAGGCAGACGCAGCGGACUUAAAAUCCGCCGAUCGUAAAAGAUCGUACCGGUUCGAUCCCGGUUUCCGGCACCA
RNAcentral lists this transfer RNA (89 nucleotides) under Clostridiales bacterium. RNAcentral's name for it is "tRNA-Leu". It matches the Rfam family "tRNA". Rfam says of the family: Transfer RNA (tRNA) molecules are approximately 80 nucleotides in length. Lineage: Bacteria; Bacillati; Bacillota; Clostridia; Eubacteriales. The record is from RNAcentral.